RNAcentral lists this ribosomal RNA (463 nucleotides) under uncultured bacterium. Its description in RNAcentral is "partial 16S ribosomal RNA". It matches the Rfam family "Bacterial small subunit ribosomal RNA", at positions 28 to 507 of the family's 1533-position model. The record is from RNAcentral.
GAUGAACGCUGACAGAAUGCUUAACACAUGCAAGUCGAUGGGGAAGUGGUGCUUGCACCAUGGCAACCAUGGCGGACGGGUGAGUAACGCGUAAGGGACUUACCUGCAGGACUGGGAUAACAGGGGGAAACUCCUGACAAGACCGGAUAAUGUCAUGGAGCUGCAUGGCUUUAUGAUGAAAGGAGACGCCUGCGGAGAGCCUUGCGCCCUAUUAGCUAGUUGGUGAGGUAAUGGCUCACCAAGGCGAAGAUAGGUAGCCGGCCUGAGAGGGUGGACGGCCACAAGGGGACUGAGAUACGGCCCUUACUCCUACGGGAGGCAGCAGUGGGGAAUAUUGGACAAUGGGGGCAACCCUGAUCCAGCAAUUCUGUGUGCACGAAGAAGGUUUUCGGAUUGUAAAGUGCUUUCAGCAGGGAAGAAGUAAGUGACGGUACCUGCAGAAGAAGCGACGGCUAAAUACGUG